Cephus cinctus (wheat stem sawfly) is the source of this 726-nucleotide long non-coding RNA. RefSeq lists it as uncharacterized. The transcript has 4 exons. The record is from RefSeq and is a predicted model, not a curated record. NCBI's taxonomy places the organism in Eukaryota, Metazoa, Arthropoda, Insecta, Hymenoptera, Cephidae.
UAAAUUUUAAUACUUCAUUCUAAGUUCAUAUUUGUUGUUCUAGAUGGAGCCGUAUACAAUCGAAUUUUGUCUUAUAUGUAACGUUAUUUUCUACUUCGGUGAGAUAAUCUCGUCGAUGAUCGAUACUUCAAAAGAUUUAUGUACUCCGUGCUAAAGUAUUUAACAUUCAUUCCGCACAAGUACAACAUAUGCGCCAAAUGCGCACAUAACAUUACUUGUUUAGGAUAACCAAGUGUAAAAUAAAAAGCACAGGAUGUAUAAAGGUGAAAGAGACAGGAGAUGAGAAAUAAAGAAACUAAUCAAAGUGAAGGCUUAUGCAACUACAAUAAGUAAUGAAUACGAAUGCAAUAAGAAUCCCUCUGUCCUAUCGCUCAUAAGGCCUUGACAAAAAAACUUUCAACUCCUGACGUCACCGUGAAACAUACUGGACGCACGAAAGGGAUGCCUAUACAUGGUCUAACGAUGGCCAGUGGCUACAAUACAUAUUAUACGUACUGGAUCUAAAGCUGUAGCGUAUUUUGCUUUGUAGCAAUGCAUGCGCGACUAGUAGAUACAAGUUGGGUCCUACGUAAGAGCCAUUCGUAAAACAAAGCACGUACAAGGCACGAUGAAUCACGUACGGAAAAUUUUAUUCCAAGUGGCAGCAGCAAUAGUCGCCAUAUCGUUUUCCUGCAAGACUGCUAAAGACUGCCAUACCGUCCAUGAGAAACAUUUUGUAGGUUAUGA